GGGGGGGGGGAGGAGGGCUGCUGUUUGAGUUUCUAAGAACGCAUUUUUAGUGGCAAGUAGAGUAUGAAUCACAUUCUGUUCUCAUCUUUAACUUCUCUUUCUUACUGAAACGGAAUAAUUUUUAAUCCUGAAACCUCUGCCUAGCUAUGCUUUGUGCUAGUCUGUGUCAGUGUUACUUGAACGAUGUUUUGUGUAGUAUUGUAGAAGUUCAAAAUGGUUUCUUUGGAACGCUAGAAUUGACUCUUUCAAUAAAAAGUUAUGUAGAUUCCCAUAAGCCCUAAUCAAAAUUAUUUGCUGAAGAUCAUUCUACCUACGAAAACUUCAUCAGUAUCAAAUGCCCACCAUAGACCAGGAUAAACACAUACUUCCCUGUGUAACUUUCCACAGAAUUACAGUGGCAUUAUGAAAAGCAAUGCAAAUUAUUAACGCUUGGCUUACAGGAUCUUGCUCAUGAAAUUGUGCACAUUAGUCUCCGAGGAUGUCACAUACAUACGGACCAUGUGUAAAUGACUAGCAGGCAAGACUCCAGCACACUGAAAGAUGAACAGCACUCUAAAAGGAUAGAGGAGCUAUGACCAGAGUUAAGUCCAAGGAGUUUGUAGUACAGCUGUGCAGCUCCAGCCUGAUAGUGAACCCCUCAGCUCUGCACAGUCACAGGCAAUUCUCAGCCAAGCCUCUUCAGUGUGACAAUUCACUGCAUCUUCAAGUAAAAGAGAAAAAUU
This 722-nucleotide long non-coding RNA is filed under the name Cyanistes caeruleus (blue tit). RNAcentral describes it as "lncRNA (ENSCCEG00000023206.1)". Lineage: Eukaryota; Metazoa; Chordata; Aves; Passeriformes; Paridae. The record is from RNAcentral.